RNAcentral lists this ribosomal RNA (405 nucleotides) under uncultured bacterium. Its description in RNAcentral is "partial 16S ribosomal RNA". It matches the Rfam family "Bacterial small subunit ribosomal RNA", at positions 29 to 526 of the family's 1533-position model. The record is from RNAcentral.
AUUGAACGCUGGCGGCAGGCUUAACACAUGCAAGUCGAACGAGCGGCGGACGGGUGAGUAAUGCUUGGGAAUCUAGCUUAUGGUGGGGGAUAACUCCGGGAAACUGUAGCUAAUACCGCGUACCAUCGGAUGAGCCCACGUGGGCUUAGGUAGUUGGUGAGGUAAAGGCUCACCAAGCCGACGAUCCCUAGCUGGUCUGCGAGGAUGACCGUACACACUGGGACUGAGACACGGCCCAGACUCCUACGGGCGGCAGCAGUGGGAAAUAUGGAGCAAUGAGGGCAACCUGACGCAGCCAUACCGCGUGAAUGAAGAAGGCCUUCGGGACGUAGAGUACUUUCAGCGGGGAGGCGUUACCCACAGAAGACGAACCGGCUAACGCCGAGGCAGCAGCCGCGGUAAUAC